AGAGGUCCGCUGCCCGUGAUUUAAUUUAACGGCCGCGGUAUCUUGACCGUGCAAAGGUAGCACAAUCAAUUGUUCUUUAAAUAAGGACUAGUAUGAACGGCACCACGAGGGUUUAACUGUCUCCCCACUUUAAUCAAUGAAAUUGAUCCUCCCGUGAAGAAGCGGGAAAUAUUUAUAUAAGACGAAAAGACCCCAUGGAGCUUUAAACUUAUCAUCACUUACCAAAACCUCAACACACAUUUGGCAAACAUGACACUGAUAGUUUUCGGUUGGGGGCGACCCCGGAG
RNAcentral lists this ribosomal RNA (287 nucleotides) under Hyperolius cf. steindachneri KAT-2012. Its description in RNAcentral is "partial 16S ribosomal RNA". It matches the Rfam family "Bacterial large subunit ribosomal RNA", at positions 1893 to 2290 of the family's 2925-position model. Lineage: Eukaryota; Metazoa; Chordata; Amphibia; Anura; Hyperoliidae. The record is from RNAcentral.